UACAGAGGUCUCAAGCGUUGUUCGGAUUCAUUGGGCGUAAAGGGUGCGUAGGCGGCGCGGUAAGUCGGGUGUGAAAUCUUGGAGCUUAACUCCGAAACUGCAUUCGAUACUGCCGUGCUUGAGGACUGGAGAGGAGACUGGAAUUUACGGUGUAGCGGUGAAAUGCGUAGAGAUCCGGAGGAACGCCGGUGGCGAAAGCGGCCCUCUGGCUCGACCCUGACGCUGAGGCGCGAAAGCGUGGGGAGCGAACGGG
Molecule: ribosomal RNA, 253 nt
Filed under: uncultured bacterium
Lineage: Bacteria
Description: partial 16S ribosomal RNA
Rfam family: Bacterial small subunit ribosomal RNA
Source: RNAcentral